This 328-nucleotide unclassified non-coding RNA is filed under the name soil metagenome. RNAcentral describes it as "partial contains 5.8S ribosomal RNA, internal transcribed spacer 2, and large subunit ribosomal RNA". The stretch from base 1 to 120 matches the Rfam family "5.8S ribosomal RNA", at positions 35 to 154 of the family's 154-position model. The record is from RNAcentral.
GAUGAAGAACGUAGCGAAAUGCGAUAAGUAAUGUGAAUUGCAGAAUUCAGUGAAUCAUCGAAUCUUUGAACGCACAUUGCGCCCCUUGGUAUUCCGAGGGGCAUGCCUGUUCGAGCGUCAUUAUAACCCUCAAGCUCAGCUUGGUGUUGGGGCCUGCUGCAGUGGCAGCCCUUAAAAUCAGUGGCGGCGCCAUCUGGCUCUAAGCGUAGUAAUUCUUCUCGCUAUGGAGUCCUGGUGGAUGCUUGCCAUCAACCCCCAAUUUUUCUAUGGUUGACCUCGGAUCAGGUAGGGAUACCCGCUGAACUUAAGCAUAUCGAUAAGCGGAGGA